This 845-nucleotide long non-coding RNA is filed under the name Homo sapiens (human). RNAcentral's name for it is "non-protein coding lnc-VWA7-2:1". Lineage: Eukaryota; Metazoa; Chordata; Mammalia; Primates; Hominidae. The record is from RNAcentral.
CUCUGCUGCGGCCGCAGUGGUACGUUCGCUGCGGGGAGAUGGCCCAGGCUGCCAGCGCCGCUGUGACUCGGGGUGACCUCCGCAUCCUGCCUGAGGCCCAUCAGCGCACAUGGCAUGCCUGGAUGGACAACAUCCGGUGUGUAGGGUCCUCAGUGUGGGAGGGGCUUGCCGAGGGCUGAGCAGGGCUCACUCGGGCCAGGCUCCAUCAGGCCCUCCCUGAUUUCUCCUCCCCGACAUUUGCAGGGAGUGGUGCAUUUCCAGGCAGCUGUGGUGGGGCCAUCGCAUCCCAGCCUACUUUGUCACUGUCAGUGACCCAGCGGUGCCCCCUGGGGAGGACCCUGAUGGGCGGUACUGGGUGAGUGGACGCAAUGAGGCGGAGGCCCGGGAGAAGGCAGCCAAGGAGUUCGGAGUGUCCCCUGACAAGAUCAGUCUCCAGCAAGGCAAGGCGGGGCUUUGAGGGUCUGGAGGGAGUUGUGGGGGGCAGAGCUCCACUCCCUCUGACCUCUGACCUUUGGCCUCUCUCAGAUGAGGAUGUAUUGGAUACCUGGUUCUCCUCUGGCCUCUUCCCCUUAUCCAUUUUGGGCUGGCCCAACCAGUCAGAAGACCUGAGUGUGUUCUACCCCGGGACACUGCUGGAGACCGGUCAUGACAUCCUCUUCUUCUGGGUGGCCCGGAUGGUCAUGCUGGGCCUGAAGCUCACGGGCAGGCUGCCCUUUAGAGAGGUGCGGAGACAGCCGAGACCCUCCCAUCGCCCCCAGCCUCCUCUCCUACCGUCCUGUGCUGCAGCGCAGACCCCGCGUGGCUGGGGCAUGGGGUUAGCUGUGGGCAGGCCUGACCCGGGGGCU